UCAUCUUCUGCUGUCUGAAUUAUUUCAUUCAGUUCUUCUAUUUCCUUGUUUGUUGUAUAGGCUUCUUUUUCUUUUUUUAUAAUUUCUGCAUGCUUUGAUGAUGUUUCUGCUAAAUCAGACUUUGUAGUAUCCAGUUGCACCCCUUCCUCAAGAAUCAUUUGCUGAGCAGUUCUGAAACUUUUCUUCAACCCUCUUAGUAUACUA
Molecule: long non-coding RNA, 204 nt
Filed under: Sorghum bicolor (sorghum)
Lineage: Eukaryota; Viridiplantae; Streptophyta; Magnoliopsida; Poales; Poaceae
Description: long non-coding RNA (SBIC_LNC010107)
Source: RNAcentral